Molecule: ribosomal RNA, 868 nt
Filed under: uncultured archaeon
Lineage: Archaea
Description: bacterial SSU rRNA
Rfam family: Archaeal small subunit ribosomal RNA
Source: RNAcentral
CUCCGGUUGAUCCCGCCGGACCCGACUGCUAUCAGAGUGGGACUAAGCCAUGCGAGUCAACGUAGCAAUACGUGGCAUACGGCUCAGUAACACGUAGUCAACAUGCCCAGGGGACGAGGAUAACCUCGGGAAACUGAGGAUAAACCUCGAUAGGCCAUGAUUUCUGGAAUGAUUCUUGGCUCAAACCUAUAUGGCCCCUGGAUUGGACUGCGGCCGAUCAGGCUGUUGGUGAGGUAAUGGCCCACCAAACCUGUAACCGGUACGGGCUCUGAGAGGAGGAGCCCGGAGAUGGGCACUGAGACAAGGGCCCAGGCCCUAUGGGGCGCAGCAGGCGCGAAACCUCUGCAAUAGGCGAAAGCUUGACAGGGUUACUCUGAGUGAUUUCCGCUAAGGGAAUCUUUUGGCACCUCUAAAAAUGGUGCAGAAUAAGGGGUGGGCAAGUCUGGUGUCAGCCGCCGCGGUAAUACCAGCACCCCGAGUGGUCGGGACGAUUAUUGGGCCUAAAGCAUCCGUAGCCGGUCCUGCAAGUCUUCCGUUAAAUCCAGCUGCUCAACAGAUGGGCUGCGGGAGAUACUACAGGGCUAGGAGGCGGGAGAGGCAAGCGGUACUUUAUGGGUAGGGGUAAAAUCCGCUGAUCCAUAGAAGACCACCAGUGGCGAAGGCGGCUUGCCAGAACGCGCUCGACGGUGAGGGAUGAAAGCUGGGGGAGCAAACCGGAUUAGAUACCCGGGUAGUCCCAGCUGUAAACGAUGCAGACUCGGUGAUGGGUUGGCCUCGCGCCUGCCCAGUGCCGCAGGGAAGCCGUUAAGUCUGCCGCCUGGGGAGUACGGUCGCAAGACUGAAACUUAAAGGAAUUGGCGGGGGAGCA